UAGACUGACAGUAAAUUAGGUGAUCAACAGGCCGGACAUGAAAAAACCAUGUCAAUGCUGUUAGCCGCAUUAGCAGGUGCUAAUAUGAUAUAUGGCUUAG
This is a non-coding RNA of Desulfitibacter sp. BRH_c19, 100 nucleotides long. The record is from Rfam. NCBI's taxonomy places the organism in Bacteria, Bacillati, Bacillota, Clostridia, Neomoorellales, Desulfitibacteraceae.